Molecule: ribosomal RNA, 230 nt
Filed under: uncultured bacterium
Lineage: Bacteria
Description: partial 16S ribosomal RNA
Rfam family: Bacterial small subunit ribosomal RNA
Source: RNAcentral
AAAGGGUGUGUAGGCGGGUAUUUAAGUCAGUGGUGAAAUCCUGGAGCUCAACUCCAGAACUGCCAUUGAUACUAUCUAUCUUGAAUAUUGUGGAGGUAAGCGGAAUAUGUCAUGUAGCGGUGAAAUGCUUAGAUAUGACAUAGAACACCCAUUGCGAAGGCAGCUUACUACGCAUAUAUUGACGCUGAGGCACGAAAGCGUGGGGAUCAAACAGGAUUAGAUACCCGUGU